Molecule: ribosomal RNA, 253 nt
Filed under: uncultured bacterium
Lineage: Bacteria
Description: partial 16S ribosomal RNA
Rfam family: Bacterial small subunit ribosomal RNA
Source: RNAcentral
AACGUAGGAGACAAACGUUAUCCGGAGUUACUGGGCGUAAAGGGCGUGUAGGUGGUGCUGUAAGUUCGGCGUGAAAUUUUUCGGCUUAACCGGGAAAGGUCGUCGGAUACUGCAGGACUAGAGGACGGUAGAGGCGUGUGGAAUUCCGGGUGUAGUGGUGAAAUGCGUAGAGAUCCGGAGGAACACCAGUGGCGAAGGCGACACGCUGGGCCGUACCUGACACUGAGGCGCGAAAGCGUGGGGAGCGAACAGG